CUUAAUUGAUUGAGGAAGAAAUAAAGGAAAGAUUUGAAUGAAAUUGAGGAUGGAGUUAAAUCUUCAAAUAAGGGGUUAAAAAUAGAAAAGGGGGGAUGGAAAUUUGAAGGAAGAGGAAGGGAAGAACUCGGCUAGGGCUUGCAAGUGUUAGGAGAAAACACUACGAGGAGAUCAAGGUACGUGGAUAUAUUCAAUUCUUUUACGUACGUACUAGAAUAUUUUAGUAUGAAGUAUUGCUAUUAAAAAUGAAAUGAAAUGAUGUAAGGAUAUGAAUGAAUUUUGGUUUACGGAUUGAAUCUCCAUUGGGAGAUUAGAGGCAUCGUUUCGUACAACAAAGUUGUUGUUCGAUUGUUUUUUUUUGGUUCAAGGGAAGUUAAGUUUUUUUUUUCUUUUUCUUCUGUUUAUUUUUAUGUUUUCUGUUCCUGUUUUUCUGUUUUCUGGUCUUUUGAUUUUCUGUCUUUUGAUUUUCUGUUUGAUAUUUCAGUAUUUUUGCUGGGUAAUAGAAGAAAUGAACUUCUCGUCCUUGUGAUUUAAGCGCUAUUUUAGGUUUUUGCCAUCUCUUGAGUUGUUGGUUUCUGAUUUUUGUUUUUUAAAUUAUUUUACUAGACAACAAAAAUCCUUAUGAACACGGGACUAUAAUCGUGGACUGGGCUCCCAAGGUCUCCAAGUUCAGGAUUUGCGUUGUCCUAGGACUAGUAGCUCAUGCAUAAGCUUUAGACACCCAAAUGGGACACCCACAUGGUCGAUUUUAACCAAUAAAAUCAAGAGAUGGGUCUGAAUAGUUGGGUGGGUUGUUUGAGGUUAAGCCUCAACUCUAUAGACCUACCACCUAUUCCAGGGUGGUAGUCAAGUAAAUUUAAAGGUCUACGUUUUGUUUUCAAAGGUUGAGUUAAACGAACGAGAGCUAAAUUAAACUCAAACUUAGUCGAUUUAAAAGUUUGUUUAUUAAUGCAAACCGUUUCAUUUCUCGAGGAUUUAAAUGGCAUUUCGGGUUUUAUUUCAAUUUUGAAUUUUCUUUGGAUCUAAUAACUAAAAGUGUAAAAGGAAAAUCAAUGAAAUCUAAAGAACCUUAACCCUAAAUUCAUCAUCGAAAGGGGCGGGUCGAGCCAGUUCUUGGAAUGAUACUUGACCUGAACUAUUCCCAUCCACCAUCGGGUUAAAUCCUAAAGGAAACCAAACCUUGAAGUUAGGGAUUUAGUGGUGAACGACAAAAGGAGAAGAUCGAGCAAGUCCUCCUGAUGACACUCAAUCUAACCUUCUCUCUAUUCACUGAAGAUGCACCAAGGUUACGGACCAAGAUUUGGAUUGAGUGGAUCACUCAAUCUCUCCUCACUCAUGCUCAAUCAUACGAAAUUUACGGAUCCUUAGGGAUUUGACGACACAUGAAAUGAAAGGAACUUAACGGUCCUGACGAGACUACAUGACCCGACGGGGUCUGACGGCAUGGCGAGGGUUUACUCGAUGACACAUAUAAAGGAAAAGGGGGGGGGUUCAUAAGAACCUCUAUUGGUAACCAAGGAGGGCUAAUAUGCCCUAAAAGAAAUUCAUGAACCAUAAGAUUUAUUAUAUAUUCAAGUACUAAGUUUUUGAAACUUACCCAUGUAAAUGAUAUUUUAUUGCAGAAUAAGGGAUGGCUUGGAAUGGACUGGUCAGAGGGUUUCACACAUGAAUGGGAUCCUAGGAUAUUAGUUAAAUAAAGAGUCUAUUUGGUUUCCUCUAGUACUUUGAUUUUGUUGUGUACGCCCAUUCGGGUAUAUGAAUCUUGGUUGUUUGUUUAAUUAAAUUUGGGAAUAACCCUGUUUAAAUUAAGAAAAUUCAGGUUAUUACAGAUAAGGUCCUAAAAUGUGGGCCAAACUACAACUGCACUUCGACAGGGAGUGGUACCUCACCAACAUACAAGAACGCCUGGGAAUCCAUAAGGAAUAGAAAAGAGAUCGACCAAUUUUGGAAGGGGGUACGGACCACUAGCAUUAGGAAAUUUAGCAUAACAUUAUGGAGGGC
This 2001-nucleotide long non-coding RNA is filed under the name Zostera marina. RNAcentral's name for it is "long non-coding RNA (ZMAR_LNC004285)". Lineage: Eukaryota; Viridiplantae; Streptophyta; Magnoliopsida; Alismatales; Zosteraceae. The record is from RNAcentral.